AGCGCAGGCGGUUAUUUAAGUCAGGUGUGAAAGCCCCGAGCUCAACUUGGGACGUGCAUUUGAAACUGGGUAACUAGAGUGUGUCAGAGGGGGGUAGAAUUCCACGUGUAGCAGUGAAAUGCGUAGAGAUGUGGAGGAAUACCGAUGGCGAAGGCAGCCCCCUGGGAUAACACUGACGCUCAUGCUCGAAAGCGUGGUAGCAAACA
This 206-nucleotide ribosomal RNA is filed under the name uncultured bacterium. Its description in RNAcentral is "partial 16S ribosomal RNA". It matches the Rfam family "Bacterial small subunit ribosomal RNA", at positions 568 to 774 of the family's 1533-position model. The record is from RNAcentral.